GGAGAAAUGGCAGAGCGGUUGAACGCGGCAGUCUUGAAAACUGUUUUACCGUAAGGUAACGGGGGUUCGAAUCCCUCUUUCUCCGCCA
This 88-nucleotide transfer RNA is filed under the name Bacteroidales bacterium. RNAcentral describes it as "tRNA-Ser". It matches the Rfam family "tRNA". From Rfam's summary of the family: Transfer RNA (tRNA) molecules are approximately 80 nucleotides in length. Lineage: Bacteria; Pseudomonadati; Bacteroidota; Bacteroidia; Bacteroidales. The record is from RNAcentral.